This is a long non-coding RNA of Lucilia cuprina (Australian sheep blowfly), 2019 nucleotides long. RefSeq lists it as uncharacterized. The transcript has 3 exons. The record is from RefSeq and is a predicted model, not a curated record. NCBI's taxonomy places the organism in Eukaryota, Metazoa, Arthropoda, Insecta, Diptera, Calliphoridae.
AGAAUAAUAUAAAUUAGUUCAUAAAAAAACAGUAAAGUGUGAUUUCACAUCAAAUUUGGGCAAAUUGUGACAGUUAAAUAAACAUUUUCACAGUAAAAUUUAUUCAACACUUUUAGGAUAAUUAUCAAAGUGAUUAACUUUAGCUAAUAUUAACAGCAUGAACAAUAGCCUAAAUAAAACAAUAUGAUAUAAAUAAGUUCUUUAAAAGAACAUAUUUUAAAUGCAACUGAAACUGAUACAGAUUCCGGAAAAUUUUUUGCUGCUAAAAUAACUUUAAAGUUUGACAAUAAUCUCAUGGUCUGGGUCAUCAUACGCCUUACUAAUAUUAAAUGAUUCUUUUUAAAUCUUUUAAGAGCAAUACUAUUGGAUGUACAUGGUACAAUUUUCAAUGGAGAUACAUACAUCUAAUCAUAUGUACCUAUGCAGAUAUAUACCUAUUGAAACCUGAUUAAUUUUGAAAUAACUCUUAAUUUAUGAAAUAUUAUAUUGAAAUAAGUAAAUGUAUAUUUAUAGAAUAUACAUUCAUAGCAAUUAAGUUUAUAUUUUAAUGUUAUAAAUUAAGGUCAAAAGGAAAUUUGUUAAAUUUGUGUUUAAAACAUUUGUUCGUUAAGUGCAAAUAUCCAACCUAAAGUAUUUAAUAUUUGCUUGAGCUCGCUGAUCGUCACAUUACAUAUAGCUUUAGCUACGCAAUAUAUUGUUCCAAUAUUUGAAUUUUCUUAAAAUUUUCACCGUAUGGAAUCGACUAUAGGCCAUUUCUUCUGUUAAAAGUAUUUUAAUUUAUCCAUUGAUAAAUUGUAAUUGCUAAAGUGUGAGUAAUCAUUGUCGAUAUAUAAAUUUAACCGCCAACUUGGCGUAAAACUGAAAUUCAUGAAAAUCAUUAAUGGCAGUGGAAAGUUCAAAGCAAAAUAUUAUGGUUAGAUUAAUACUAACCCCCCGAAAAGGAAUUUUAUGAAUUAUAUUUGUGAAAUUUUUACUUUUAUAAAAGUAAAAAUUGUAAAAAUAUACUCAUGGUGUAGGGUAUCAUAUGGUCGGCCAUGCCCGACUAUACUUUCCUACUUGUUAAUAAUACGUUUAUAUUUAAAUGCUUUUGUACCUUUAAUUUGUAAAUUUGGUUGAUAGUGACGUUUAUGUACAUUUGUAUCAAUUAGAACAUCUUUGUAUGUGCUUAAAUCAUUUUUAGUAUAAUGCAACGGUUUUGAAUGAAAUAGUAACUCAAAUAAACCUGGAGUCAUUUUCAACUUAGUAUCUCCAAUAUAUAUUGUGUUAUUUGAUUUAAACUUUAAUUUAUUUAAUCCAUAUCGCCAAUUUCCAUCACGAUCUAUAUUAAAUCCAUAUAAUUUAUCAAUCAUAUUAUUAUUUAUUAAUAAUUUUACAUUUUCAAAUAAUGAUGAUUUUUGUAGAUUAUCAUUUUCAUUUUUAUUCUCGCUAUUUAAUUUGAAACGUUUUUUUUAUCAACAUUUAAUUGAGCUACACUCUUUCGUUUUGCAAAUAAAUGUGUGGUUUUCCAGCGUUUUUUAUCGUCUUCAUCAAAACCACUUAGUAAAGUUUUAUUCUUUCUUUUCGUAGGUUGUUUUUGUUGCGGUUUUACAAUGUUUACAUUCGAAGAAGUAGAGGGAAGUUGUAUAUUAAUACUAAGUUUAUUAGUCAAAGUAGAGUGUGGUGAUUCUUUGCUGUUGUGAAAUUUAUUUGUGGAUGUAUUAUAAAUUUUUUUUCCGAUUACAUUUUUUAAUAUUGUUCUUUUUUUAUUUUUAUUACGUUUCAGUAGAUGACCUUUUUUGUUUAUAUAUUUUCUUUUUUGUUUUUCUAGACUAGAGUUAUUGCUAUAUAGCCUAGUUCUUUUUAAGUUUUUUAUGCGAAAAUCAUCAGUUUUAUCGCUAAUAUCUUCAUAUUCCAUAUCUGAAUAAGGAUUAGAUAUGUUUUCAUCAUCAUCAAAACCAGCAAAACCAGAUUUAUUAUCAUCAUUGUCAUCAUUGUCAUCAAUAUCAUCAUAUUCCAUAUCAGAUGAAAUAUUACUAGAGA